Molecule: ribosomal RNA, 497 nt
Filed under: uncultured bacterium
Lineage: Bacteria
Description: partial 16S ribosomal RNA
Rfam family: Bacterial small subunit ribosomal RNA
Source: RNAcentral
GAUGAACGCUGGCGGCGUGCCUAAUACAUGCAAGUCGAGCGAACAGACGAGGAGCUUGCUCCUCUGACGUUAGCGGCGGACGGGUGAGUAACACGUGGAUAACCUACCUAUAAGACUGGGAUAACUUCGGGAAACCGGAGCUAAUACCGGAUAAUAUAUUGAACCGCAUGGUUCAAUAGUGAAACACGGUUUUGCUGUCACUUAUAGAUGGAUCCGCGCCGCAUUAGCUAGUUGGUAAGCUAACGGCUUACCAAGGCAACGAUGCGUAGCCGACCUGAGAGGGUGAUCGGCCACACUGGAACUGAGACACGGUCCAGACUCCUACGGGAGGCAGCAGUAGGGAAUCUUCCGCAAUGGGCGAAAGCCUGACGGAGCAACGCCGCGUGAGUGAUGAAGGUCUUCGGAUCGUAAAACUCUGUUAUUAGGGAAGAACAAAUGUGUAAGUAACUAUGCACGUCUUGACGGUACCUAAUCAGAAAGCCACGGCUAACUACGUG